RNAcentral lists this ribosomal RNA (477 nucleotides) under uncultured bacterium. Its description in RNAcentral is "partial 16S ribosomal RNA". It matches the Rfam family "Bacterial small subunit ribosomal RNA", at positions 30 to 507 of the family's 1533-position model. The record is from RNAcentral.
AUUGAACGCUGGCGGCAUGCCUUACACAUGCAAGUCGAACGGUAACAGGUUAAGCUGACGAGUUGCGAACGGGUGAGUAAUGUAUCGGAACGUGCCCAGUCGUGGGGGAUAACUGCUCGAAAGAGCAGCUAAUACCGCAUACGACCUGAGGGUGAAAGCGGGGGAUCGCAAGGCCUCGCGCGAUUGGAGCGGCCGAUAUCAGAUUAGCUAGUUGGUGAGGUAAAGGCUCACCAAGCCGACGAUCUGUAGCUGGUCUGAGAGGACGACCAGCCACACUGGGACUGAGACACGGCCCAGACGCCUACGGGAGGCAGCAGUGGGGAAUUUUGGACAAUGGGCGCAAGCCUGAUCCAGCCAUGCCGCGUGCGGGAAGAAGGCCUUCGGGUUGUAAACCGCUUUUGUCAGGGAAGAAAAGGUUCUGGCUAAUACCUGGGACUCAUGACGGUACCUGAAGAAUAAGCACCGGCUAACUACGUG